Long non-coding RNA from Suncus etruscus (white-toothed pygmy shrew), 321 nucleotides. RefSeq lists it as uncharacterized. NCBI's taxonomy places the organism in Eukaryota, Metazoa, Chordata, Mammalia, Eulipotyphla, Soricidae. The transcript has 3 exons. The record is from RefSeq and is a predicted model, not a curated record.
CUGGCUCCAGGUCUAGCUCGGAGCCAGCCGGAGCGUCUCGGCCACUUGAGUCUCCUAGUUGAGCAAAACCUUUCGGCCCCGACCGCCGCCCCGCGGCAUCGCCAAGGCCGGGGAGACCCGGGAAGGUAGGGAACCGGAAGCCGGGACUUGUCCGCGCGCGACUUAUUAGGUUACUGUCUUUCUGAAUGCGGUAUAAUGAGCACCAGGAUUAUCUGCUGUUAGCAGAGACUGGGAGGAUUGAAUGAAGGCAUUGUGGGUUCUGUGUUUAUCAAUCCUACUCAUACCACAUGGAGUGGGGAAUGAUUUCUACAAAGGCAAGGU